AGCGGCGGACGGGUGAGUAACGCGUGGGUAACCUGCCCUAUACACACGGAUAACAUACCGAAAGGUAUGCUAAUACGAGAUAAUAUAAGAGAUUCACAUGGAUUUCUUAUCAAAGCUGAGGCGGUAUAGGAUGGACCCGCGUCUGAUUAGCUAGUUGGUAAGGUAACGGCUUACCAAGGCGACGAUCAGUAGCCGACCUGAGAGGGUGAUCGGCCACAUUGGAACCGAGACACGGUCCAAACUCCUACGGGGGGCAGCAGUGGGGAAUAUUGCACAAUGGGCGAAAGCCUGAUGCAGCAACGCCGCGUGAGUGAUGAAGGCCUUCGGGUCGUAAAACUCUGUCCUCAAGGAAGAUAAUGACGGUACUUGAGGAGGAAGCCCCGGCUAACUACGUGCCAGCAGCCGCGGUAAUACGUAGGGGGCUAGCGUUAUCCGGAUUUACUGGGCGUAAAGGGUGCGUAGGUGGUCUCUUAAGUCAGGAGUGAAAGGCUACGGCUUAACCGUAGUAAGCUCUUGAAACUGGGAGACUUGAGUGCAGGAGAGGAAAGUGGAAUUCCUAGUGUAGCGGUGAAAUGCGUAGAUAUUAGGAGGAACACCAGUAGCGAAGGCGGCUUUCUGGACUGUAACUGACACUGAGGCACGAAAGCGUGGGGAGCAAACAGGAUUAGAUACCCUGGUAGUCCACGCCGUAAACGAUGAGUACUAGGUGU
Molecule: ribosomal RNA, 710 nt
Filed under: uncultured bacterium
Lineage: Bacteria
Description: bacterial SSU rRNA
Rfam family: Bacterial small subunit ribosomal RNA
Source: RNAcentral